RNAcentral lists this ribosomal RNA (541 nucleotides) under Lactarius hatsudake. Its description in RNAcentral is "LSU rRNA". It matches the Rfam family "Eukaryotic large subunit ribosomal RNA", at positions 85 to 636 of the family's 3401-position model. The record is from RNAcentral. Lineage: Eukaryota; Fungi; Basidiomycota; Agaricomycetes; Russulales; Russulaceae.
AACUGCGAGUGAAGCGGGAAAAGCUCAAAUUUAAAAUCUGGCGGUCUCUGGCCGUCCGAGUUGUAAUUUAGAGAAGCGUCUUCCGCGCCGGGCCGUGCACAAGUCUCCUGGAAUGGAGCGUCAUAGAGGGUGAGAAUCCCGUCUUUGGCACGGAUGCCUGUGCUUCUGUGAUGCGCUCUCGAAGAGUCGAGUUGUUUGGGAAUGCAGCUCAAAAUGGGUGGUGAACUCCAUCUAAAGCUAAAUAUUGGCGAGAGACCGAUAGCGAACAAGUACCGUGAGGGAAAGAUGAAAAGCACUUUGGAAAGAGAGUGAAACAGUACGUGAAAUUGUUGAAAGGGAAACGCUUGAAGUCAGUCGCGUCGACCGAGACUCAGCCUUGCCUUGGCUUGGUGUACUUCUUGGCUCGACGGGUCAGCAUCAAUUUUGCCCCUCGGAUAAUGGCAAGGGAAAGGUGGCACCUUUGCGGGUGUGUUAUAGUCUCCUGUCGCAUGCGAGGGGUGGGAUUGAGGAACUCAGCGCGCACCUUGGUGUCGGGGCUUCG